CGGCAGAAGCUGGCACAGCUCUCAGAUGACAGCCAGCAAGGAAAUGGGGACCUUAGUCCUGCAACUGCAAGGAACUAAAUUCUUCCAACAACCUGAAUAAGCAAGGAAACCGAGUCUCCCCCAGAGCCUCCAGGAAGAAAUGCAGCCCUGCCGACACCUUGAUUUAGCCUGAUGAAACCCUCGUUGGAUUUCUGCCCUACAGAACUGCUUCCACGGUAGCCAAAGAAGAUGUGAAACUGGCCUCUUGAACUAGAACUCUGCAUGGAGAGGCGUGCUGGUCUUAAUACCACAGUUCGGGGAUAUUAUCCUUUAAGCAGAUUUUUGUGAGAUGCCAUAAGGACCUGUCAGACUUUCCAUGUCAUGGGAUCCUGAGUUCUUGGAAGUUUAUUCAUCAGUUGCGUCAGAGACAGCUGGGGAUAGCAGAGUUGUUCAAAAGUGAUGAGUUGGGACAACAGAAACAACCCAAGGAACACAAUGAAAGUUAGUAUCUGGCCAUUCUCUCUGCCUCAGUGUGACAGAAAACUCUUAGCAGAGAAUUAGAGAAGGGGAGUCAGCAUUCCAUGUCUAUUGAAGAUUAGAUACUCAACCUCUGUAAACUCAGAUCAAUGAAAUCUUAAUUUAGCAAAAUCGUUCAACAUUGAGAUUGUCCAAAGCUAAUUUACAGUCAGUGGGUCCUGGGUCACUGUUUUAAAUCUUAGCUUCAAAAUGUGUCCAAUUUAAGACUGAUUUGGAGGCACCUAAGCAAUCAGAGAUAUAAUGACAUAGAAAUGUAUGGUUUGAGGAUGAAUAUCAUAACUGAUUGUCUAGAAACUGAUAAUUCAUUUGUCAUAAUACCGAAGUGCAUGUGUGAUGGCAGGAAGCAAGAAUGUCUGAUGGGCAUCGAGACUCUCAGGAACUCUGCUUCGGUCUCACCUCUCAGGGUUAUCUGUGUGACCUCUCUGGUUUCUGUCAAGUAAAGAGGUGUAUCAGUGUUUCCCAGGUUUUUGUUUUUUUUUUUAAUUCAAGCACUUUUCAGUUAAAAAUAUAAUCUACCAAAGUUCCUUAGAAAUUAAAAAUAUAUAUGUUAUUUGUGGCCUAUCGGAUAAAUGAUUUGAAAGGCAUGUAAAAUUUUCAGAUCGGGUCUUUAAGAUUACUGUAUAAAUUCCUAUUCCUUUCCUAGGUAUUGUUUUUAUAUAAAUUGUGGAUUAAUCACUGUAUAUUUAAAUACAUCUUUUGACUUAGAAAAUGCUUAAUUUUCUUGAAUUUUCAUGAAUUUUAUUGUAUGGGAAAAGGCAUAACCUAUUGACAACCAACAAAAAAAUUGUAAUGUUUUAUUUGGAAGUGAAUGAACAUUAAAACAUAGCAUAAAAGUCAA
This is a long non-coding RNA of Canis lupus familiaris (dog), 1354 nucleotides long. RefSeq lists it as uncharacterized. Lineage: Eukaryota; Metazoa; Chordata; Mammalia; Carnivora; Canidae. The record is from RefSeq and is a predicted model, not a curated record. The transcript has 3 exons.